GUGCCUGGGAGACCACUGACCUUUCUCGAUAUCAGGAUGAUCCAGUGGUCUCCACACGAGCGGUACUUUCUCAUCCCACUGGGUCAUCAGAGGAACUGCCAGGCAGUGUUCCUGAUCUGAGAGAAGAUGUCCAGUGGCGUAGACCAUAUAACAUCCAUAAUACACUCCUAGACCAGGAUAAAGAUAGAGAUGUAUGAUCGCAAUGAAGAGCAGACAUCAGGAGAUGAUUCAAGAACUGGAGGAGAACUUUCUCAUAGCAUCACGAGAGAAUCAGGAAAGCAGUGACCCAGAUGUACCACUAGAUAGAGCUCAAGCUCAGCUGGAGAUUUUGAAGGAUAACCUCUUGAAGAGGGAGCGAGAGAUCUCAAUGCUCAGGAAAGGACAAGAGCGUGUGUCAGCAUAUGCUCGCCUCCUCAGUGCUGUUAUUCAGCAGGCUCAUCAUGUUUAUGCUAAGCUAACAGAGGCUAAACAGCAGUUUGAACAAAUGGCAGAAUACAACCAAAAAAUUCUGGCAGAGUUUAAAGAAAGUCUUGACCAAACUGUGGAAGGGUCCAGGCAGAAGAGCCACGAGGAACAAGAGGAUGCACAGCAGAAAAUAGUGGAGCCACAGGUGGAGCCAAGUUCACAAGCCAGAUUACUCCAUCAUGAGGUCAUGCAGGUGGCUUUGGAGUGCAUCAGAGCAGGGGCUAAAUCCACUAUCAUUGGAAUUCGAGAAGGAUUUCCAAAAAAAUGGAUUCUUAAAUUAUGAAACUGAUAAAAGUGUGGGGCAGCAGCUAUUGUUACUGCAAGCUGAGGUUUCAGCCUGCAUGCUGGAGCUGUACAAUGACCGCCUACAGGAUCUCUUUGUGAGCCCCGCUGAAGCUUUCAGCAAGCGAGUUGAAAUUGAGAGGGACAGAAAGGGGCUUGUGUUCGCCCAGGGAGCAGAAACAAAAGAGGACACCAGCGCUGGCGAACUCUUUGCAUUAUUUGAGUAGGGCUGUGCAAACCACCACAUUGCGGCCACAA
Molecule: long non-coding RNA, 1005 nt
Organism: Cyprinus carpio (common carp)
Lineage: Eukaryota; Metazoa; Chordata; Actinopteri; Cypriniformes; Cyprinidae
Source: Ensembl